This 1464-nucleotide ribosomal RNA is filed under the name Deronectes angusi. RNAcentral describes it as "SSU rRNA". It matches the Rfam family "Eukaryotic small subunit ribosomal RNA", at positions 602 to 1774 of the family's 1831-position model. The record is from RNAcentral. Lineage: Eukaryota; Metazoa; Arthropoda; Insecta; Coleoptera; Dytiscidae.
UAUUAAAGUUGUUGCGGUUAAAAAGCUCGUAGUUGAAUCUGUGUGUCGCGCUGCCGGUUCACCGCCCGCGGUGUAAACUGGCACGUCCGCGACACGUCCUGCCGGUGGGACGCGGCGGGGCCUAGGGGAACGUCCGGCUGGCUCGCGUUCAGCCUCCGUGUCCGUCUCUGGUUCGCACCGAGCGGGCUCGCGCUGAGCGCUGCCACCGUGGCGCGGCCCCAGGCUGCAACCGUCCGUCCCGACUUGAAAUCCUACCGCGGUGCUCUUUACUGAGUGUCGAGGUGGGCCGGCACGUUUACUUUGAACAAAUUAGAGUGCUCAAAGCAGGCUAAAACUUCGCCUGAAUACUGCGUGCAUGGAAUAAUGGAACAGGACCUCGGUUCUAUUUUGUUGGUUUUCGGAACCCCGAGGUAAUGAUUAAUAGGGACAGAUGGGGGCAUUCGUAUUGCGACGUUAGAGGUGAAAUUCUUGGACGUCGCAAGACGGACAGAAGCGAAAGCAUUUGCCAAAGAUGUUUUCAUUAAUCAAGAACGAAAGUCAGAGGUUCGAAGGCGAUCAGAUACCGCCCUAGUUCUGACCAUAAACGAUGCCAGCUAGCGAUCCGCCGACGUUCCUCCGAUGACUCGGCGGGCAGCUCCCGGGAAACCAAAGCUUAUGGGUUCCGGGGGAAGUAUGGUUGCAAAGCUGAAACUUAAAGGAAUUGACGGAAGGGCACCACCAGGAGUGGAGCCUGCGGCUUAAUUUGACUCAACACGGGAAAUCUUACCAGGCCCAGACACCGGAAGGAUUGACAGAUUGAGAGCUCUUUCUUGAUUCGGUGGGUGGUGGUGCAUGGCCGUUCUUAGUUGGUGGAGCGAUUUGUCUGGUUAAUUCCGAUAACGAACGAGACUCUGACCUGCUAACUAGGCGUUACUUUCUGGCAUCUCGAAGGCUCGUGUCUCCCGUUAGCCGGGUGGUCUGCGGGUGUCGCGUGUCGCUCGCGCUCUGGCGCGGCCCGUCGUCUUCGUGGCGGCGUGGCCCGUUGGUCCGCGUGCUCGCGCGCGCCCCGUCCUAUCGGUCGGGCAGAUGCGGCUUUUACUGCCAGCGUACAAAUGAAUCUUCUUAGAGGGACAGGCGGCUCCUAGCCGCACGAGAUUGAGCAAUAACAGGUCUGUGAUGCCCUUAGAUGUUCUGGGCCGCACGCGCGCUACACUGAAGGAAUCAGCGUGUCUUCCCUGGCCGAGCGGCCCGGGUAACCCGCUGAACCUCCUUCGUGCUAGGGAUCGGGGCUUGCAAUUGUUCCCCGUGAACGAGGAAUUCCCAGUAAGCGCGAGUCAUAAGCUCGCGUUGAUUACGUCCCUGCCCUUUGUACACACCGCCCGUCGCUACUACCGAUUGAAUGAUUUAGUGAGGUCUUCGGACCGGCACGCGGCGAAGUUUCGACUUCGCCGAUGUCGUUGGGAAGAUGACCAAACUUGAUCAUUU